UAGAACGCUGAAGAGAGGAGCUUGCUCUUCUUGGAAGAGUUGCGAACGGGUGAGUAACGCGUAGGUAACCUGCCUUGUAGCGGGGGAUAACUAUUGGAAACGAUAGCUAAUACCGCAUAACAAUGGGUGACCCAUGUCAUUCAUUUGAAAGGGGCAACUGCUCCACUACAAGAUGGACCUGCGUUGUAUUAGCUAGUAGGUGAGGUAACGGCUCACCUAGGCGACGAUACAUAGCCGACCUGAGAGGGUGAUCGGCCACACUGGGACUGAGACACGGCCCAGACUCCUACGGGAGGCAGCAGUAGGGAAUCUUCGGCAAUGGGGGCAACCCUGACCGAGCAACGCCGCGUGAGUGAAGAAGGUUUUCGGAUCGUAAAGCUCUGUUGUAAGUCAAGAACGAGUGUGAGAGUGGAAAGUUCACACUGUGACGGUAGCUUACCAGAAAGGGACGGCUAACUACGUGCCAGCAGCCGCGGUAAUACGUAGGUCCCGAGCGUUGUCCGGAUUUAUUGGGCGUAAAGCGAGCGCAGGCGGUUUGAUAAGUCUGAAGUUAAAGGCUGUGGCUCAACCAUAGUUCGCUUUGGAAACUGUCAAACUUGAGUGCAGAAGGGGAGAGUGGAAUUCCAUGUGUAGCGGUGAAAUGCGUAGAUAUAUGGAGGAA
RNAcentral lists this ribosomal RNA (661 nucleotides) under uncultured Bacilli bacterium. Its description in RNAcentral is "bacterial SSU rRNA". It matches the Rfam family "Bacterial small subunit ribosomal RNA", at positions 62 to 706 of the family's 1533-position model. The record is from RNAcentral. Lineage: Bacteria; Bacillati; Bacillota; Bacilli.